Molecule: ribosomal RNA, 252 nt
Filed under: uncultured Bacteroidales bacterium
Lineage: Bacteria; Pseudomonadati; Bacteroidota; Bacteroidia; Bacteroidales
Description: partial 16S ribosomal RNA
Rfam family: Bacterial small subunit ribosomal RNA
Source: RNAcentral
UACGGAGGAUGCGAGCGUUAUCCGGAUUUAUUGGGUUUAAAGGGUGCGUAGGCGGAUUUUUAAGUCAGCGGUAAAAUGUCCGGGCUCAACCCGGGCCGGCCGUUGAAACUGGCGGGCUGGAGUUGGAGAGAAGUACGCGGAAUGCGCGGUGUAGCGGUGAAAUGCUUAGAUAUCGCGCAGAACCCCGAUUGCGAAGGCAGCAUACCGGUGCACAACUGACGCUCAGGCACGAAAGCGUGGGUAUCGAACAGG